GUGCCAGCGCGCCGCGGUAAUACCGGCAGCCCGAGUGAUGGCCGAUCUUAUUGGGCCUAAAGCGUCCGUAGCCAGCCGAACAAGUCCGUUGGGAAAUCCACCCGCCUAACGGGUGGGCGUCCAGCGGAAACUGUCCGGCUUGGGGCCGAAUGACCCGACGGGUACGUCCGGGGUAGGAGUGAAAUCCCGUAAUCCUGGACGGACCGCCGAUGGCGAAAGCACGUCGCGAGAACGGAUCCGACAGUGAGGGACGAAAGCCAGGGUCUCGAACCGGAUUAGAAACCCCUGUAGUCC
This 294-nucleotide ribosomal RNA is filed under the name uncultured bacterium. RNAcentral's name for it is "partial 16S ribosomal RNA". It matches the Rfam family "Archaeal small subunit ribosomal RNA", at positions 455 to 747 of the family's 1478-position model. The record is from RNAcentral.